Nicotiana tabacum (common tobacco) is the source of this 521-nucleotide long non-coding RNA. RefSeq lists it as uncharacterized. The record is from RefSeq and is a predicted model, not a curated record. NCBI's taxonomy places the organism in Eukaryota, Viridiplantae, Streptophyta, Magnoliopsida, Solanales, Solanaceae.
CAACGUAAAGAACUUCAUAUACCUCACAGCUAACUUCAAAUAUUCUCUAGCACUACUUAUCUUUAGCAAGGGGAAGAUAUAAAAAGGGUACAUAAUUAUGAGGUUGGUUGUGCUUGUUUUAGUCAUGUUAGUGAUGACUUCAACCUUGGCCACAAGCAGGAACUUAGUCCAGAAUUAUAACGAAGACGAUAAUGGUUUCGGGCAGGGGGGAAGUAGCAGCAUCAAUAAUCACCAUUAUAUACCAAGGCAGGACUUCAACAAUGGUAAUGGAGGUGAUGUUCCUAAAGCAGAACUUGAUACAGAUGCUGGAAAAUUCUAAGAGUAUACCUUGUAUAUAUGCAUGGUAUAACUGUAGUAAAUAGGAAUAAAGGGUAAAAUUUUAUGCAUAUAUGCUCGUGUUUUGUUAAGUAAAGUUGGUAGUGGUUAUGUAACGUUACCGUGUUUGUUUCUUGUAGUGAAGAAGCUUUGUCUAUAUGACUAUAUAUAUAGAGAGAAGUAAUUAAUAAGUUCAUAUCUUUUUA